RNAcentral lists this ribosomal RNA (301 nucleotides) under uncultured bacterium. RNAcentral describes it as "partial 16S ribosomal RNA". It matches the Rfam family "Bacterial small subunit ribosomal RNA", at positions 509 to 807 of the family's 1533-position model. The record is from RNAcentral.
CAGUCGCCGCGGGAAUACGAAGGGGGCUAGCGUUGUUCGGAAUCACUGGGCGUAAAGCGCACGUAGGCGGACACUUAAGUCAGAGGUGAAAUCCCAAGGCUCAACCUUGGAACUGCCUUUGAUACUGGGUGUCUCGAGUCCGGAAGAGGUUGGUGGAACAGCUAGUGUAGAGGUGAAAUUCGUAGAUAUUAGCUAGAACACCAGUGGCGAAGGCGGCCAACUGGUCCGGUACUGACGCUGAGGUGCGAAAGCGUGGGGAGCAAACAGGAUUAGAUACCCCUGUAGUCCCUGUCUCUUAUAC